CCUACGGGAGGCAGCAGUGGGGAAUAUUGGUCAAUGGACGCAAGUCUGAACCAGCCAUGCCGCGUGCAGGAAGACUGCUCUAUGAGUUGUAAACUGCUUUUGUAAGAGGGUAAAUCGCGAUACGUGCAUCUGGUUGAAAGUAUCUUACGAAUAAGGAUCGGCUAACUCCGUGCCAGCAGCCGCGGUAAUACGGAGGAUUCGAGCGUUAUCCGGAUUUAUUGGGUUUAAAGGGUGCGUAGGCGGUUCGAUAAGUUAGAUGUGAAAUCCCGGGGCUCAACCCCAGCAUUGCAUCUGAUACUGUCGGGCUAGAGUUUAGUUGCGGUAGGCGGAAUGUAUGGUGUAGCGGUGAAAUGCAUAGAGAUCACACAGAACACCGAUUGCGAAGGCAGCUUACCAAACUACGACUGACGUUGAGGCACGAAAGCGUGGGGAGCAAACAGGAUUAGAUACCCCAGUAGUC
RNAcentral lists this ribosomal RNA (460 nucleotides) under uncultured bacterium. RNAcentral's name for it is "partial 16S ribosomal RNA". It matches the Rfam family "Bacterial small subunit ribosomal RNA", at positions 338 to 795 of the family's 1533-position model. The record is from RNAcentral.